This 292-nucleotide ribosomal RNA is filed under the name uncultured bacterium. Its description in RNAcentral is "partial 16S ribosomal RNA". The record is from RNAcentral.
GGACUACAGGGGUUUCUAAUCCUGUUUGCUCCCCUUGCUCUCGCGCCUCAGCGUCAGGUAUAAACUAGAAAGCCGCUUUCGCCACAGGUGUUCUUCCACAUAUCUACGCAUUUCACCGCUACACGUGGAAUUCCGCUUUCUCCGUCAAUCCUCUGGAAUUGCAGUUUCAAAUGCAGCUCCAAAGUUGAGCUUUGGAAUUUCACAUCUGACUUACCUUCCCGCCUACGCGCCCUUUACGCCCAAUAAUUCCGAUUAAUGCUUGCACUCUCCGUAUUACCGCGGCGGCUGGCAC